AACGCUAGCUACAGGCUUAACACAUGCAAGUCGAGGGGCAGCAUGAACUUAGCUUGCUAAGUUUGAUGGCGACCGGCGCACGGGUGAGUAACACGUAUCCAACCUUCCGUUUACUCAGGGAUAGCCUUUCGAAAGAAAGAUUAAUACCUGAUAGUAUGGUGAGAUUGCAUGAUGGCACCAUUAAAGAUUUAUUGGUAAACGAUGGGGAUGCGUUCCAUUAGGUAGUAGGCGGGGUAACGGCCCACCUAGCCGACGAUGGAUAGGGGUUCUGAGAGGAAGGUCCCCCACAUUGGAACUGAGACACGGUCCAAACUCCUACGGGAGGCAGCAGUGAGGAAUAUUGGUCAAUGGGCGAGAGCCUGAACCAGCCAAGUAGCGUGAAGGAUGAAGGUCCUACGGAUUGUAAACUUCUUUUAUACGGGAAUAAAGUAUCCUACGUGUAGGAUUUUGUAUGUACCGUAUGAAUAAGCAUCGGCUAACUCCGUGCCAGCAGCCGCGGUAAUACGGAGGAUGCGAGCGUUAUCCGGAUUUAUUGGGUUUAAAGGGAGCGCAGACGGGAGAUUAAGUCAGUUGUGAAAGUUUGCGGCUCAACCGUAAAAUUGCAGUUGAUACUGGUUUCCUUGAGUGCAGUUGAGGCAGGCGGAAUUCGUGGUGUAGCGGUGAAAUGCUUAGAUAUCACGAAGAACUCCGAUUG
RNAcentral lists this ribosomal RNA (694 nucleotides) under uncultured bacterium. RNAcentral describes it as "bacterial SSU rRNA". It matches the Rfam family "Bacterial small subunit ribosomal RNA", at positions 32 to 715 of the family's 1533-position model. The record is from RNAcentral.